This 548-nucleotide ribosomal RNA is filed under the name uncultured bacterium. RNAcentral's name for it is "bacterial SSU rRNA". It matches the Rfam family "Bacterial small subunit ribosomal RNA", at positions 355 to 895 of the family's 1533-position model. The record is from RNAcentral.
UAGGGAAUCUUCCACAAUGGGCGCAAGCCUGAUGGAGCAACACCGCGUGAGUGAAGAAGGGUUUCGGCUCGUAAAGCUCUGUUGUUAAAGAAGAACACGUAUGAGAGUAACUGUUCAUACGUUGACGGUAUUUAACCAGAAAGUCACGGCUAACUACGUGCCAGCAGCCGCGGUAAUACGUAGGUGGCAAGCGUUAUCCGGAUUUAUUGGGCGUAAAGAGAGUGCAGGCGGUUUUCUAAGUCUGAUGUGAAAGCCUUCGGCUUAACCGGAGAAGUGCAUCGGAAACUGGAUAACUUGAGUGCAGAAGGGGAGAGUGGAAUUCCAUGUGUAGCGGUGAAAUGCGUAGAUAUAUGGAGGAACACCGGUGGCGAAAGCGGCUCUCUGGUCUGUAACUGACGCUGAGGCUCGAAAGCGUGGGGAGCGAACAGGAUUAGAUACCCUGGUAGUCCACGCCGUANCGAUGAGUGCUAGGUGUUGGAUCCUUUCCGGGAUUCAGUGCCGCAGCUAANGCANUAANCACUCCGCCUGGGGAGUACNACCGCAAGGNU